Patiria miniata (bat star) is the source of this 3640-nucleotide long non-coding RNA. RefSeq lists it as uncharacterized. The record is from RefSeq and is a predicted model, not a curated record. The transcript has 7 exons. NCBI's taxonomy places the organism in Eukaryota, Metazoa, Echinodermata, Asteroidea, Valvatida, Asterinidae.
CGAUUCGAUACGAUACGAUACGAUACGAUAGCGGUGGUCAGAAAAAUAAUAUUUGAAAAAGUGUUAUUUUUCUCACCCACAAAGAACGUAGGGAAAGAAAUAAUACUUGAAAAUCUGUGUUGUUUAUUUCUCAAAGGUGCGCUACGACAAGACACGAUACGACCCGAUAGGAUACGAUAUGAUACGAUACGAUACGAUACGAUACGAUACGAUACGAUAGCGGUGGUCAGAAAAAUAAUAUUUGAAAAAGUGUUAUUUUUCUCACCCACAAAAAACAUAGAGAAAGAAAUAAUACUUGAGAGAAUUUCGAAUUUUCUUACCUCGGCCACGAAAUGAUCCGUUUGAAAAAAAAUAUUAGAAAUCUGGCAGCCAAAAAAAAAAAAAAAAAUGGGCGAAAAUUGAAAUUAUGGUAAAAAAAAGGAAAUAUGCGGUGGUGCAUGAGACGAAUAAUAUUUGUUAAAUUUGUUAAAUUGUGUAUUUUUCUCACCCACAAAAAUACAACUAUGAUUCCAGCUUGAAACUCAAGAGCGAGAACAUACCUUUUAAAAUCAGUAAUAUUUUUACUGCAAAAAAAUUUAAACGAAAUAAAGGACAGACAAUAAAAAAUCGUUGCGAAUUUAUUUUAUUGGAAAAGUAAAACGGUAGUGAUGAGAAAACCAAUCUCAGGACAUGUCAUGUGUCACCUUCACAAGAUUUAGUUCAGCCGUGUCUAAUAAUGUUUAAUUAAACAGUAAGUCCGAUCUAUAAAUGCAUCGGCAGGGAUCCCUGUGGCUUUAUGCCACCUUCGAAAGGUUUUUUUCCAGCCUGUCUUGAAUUUUAAACAGUAAGUCCGAUAUUCAACGAUCGGCAGUUACACUUCUGAUAUUUAUCUCCCUCAAGAGCUUUUUAAAGUCUUAUCUAAAACCAAAGACAGUGACUCUAUUUAUGGCAUUGUGCCAUCUCCAAAAGUAAUUCUUAGUCAUGUUUUGCAUUAGAAAAAAAGUAAGUCCGAUCUUCAAUGAUUGGCAUGGAUACUUGUGGCAUUAUGUCACCUGUAGUUAUAUUCUUAACUUGCCUUCGAUUUAAACUGAGACCAGUCUGCAACGAUUGGCGGAACGUGUACGAUAUUAUUUUGCCAUUGGUAGUCAUGCAUAUAUGUAUUUGUAUAUAGUUUGAUUGAUUUAUGUAGGUUUUUUUUUUACCUUUUUCUCUUGAUACACUUGUUUUCUUCUUUCCUUUCCUCAUAACAACUAUUUUGUUGGUUGGGAUUUUAAUAAAAUUAAGUGUUUUCUAACCAUCUGUAGAGAUACAGUGUGACCUAGCUAAGCUGGGUCGAGUUUUCUUUCUCCCUGUAGCUCAUUCAGCCAAGAGAAUGAACAUCUACAAGCGUAAGACUGACUGGAUGAGGAGAGGAUGCUUUGUCAGGAUGGAAACAAAUCCCUCUGAGGAACCGGAAGCAGGGAGGAGGACCGACGGAUGAACCGAUGACUCUGCUUGUAGGGCUACCCAUUUCUAAUUCCUAAGAAAGCGGAGCCUAGUGUACAUGGAUGACAGUGGCUGGAUGAAGAAGCUCAUGGUUGAGGAUGACCUUGCCCUCCCGACACCACUUCAGCUGAAACUAAGGAGCCGUAAGCAGGGAGGAGGACCAACAGAUGAACGGAUGACCUGCUUGUCGGGCUUCCCAUUUCUGAUUUUUGAAAAAAUGGAGCCAUAUACAUGGAUGACAGUGGUUGGAUGAAGAAGCUUCUGGUUGAGGAUGACCUUGCCCCCACCCCACUUCAGCUGGAAUUAAGGAGCCGGAAGCAGGGAGGAGGACCAACAGAUGAACUGAUGACCUGCUUGUCGGGCUUCCCAUUUCUGAUUUUGAAAAAAUGGAGCCUGUUAUACAUGGAUGAGAGUGGAUGGAUGAAGAAGCUUCUGGUUGAGGAUGAUCUUGCUAUUCCUGCCCCACUUCAGCUGGAACUAAGGAGCUGGAAGCAGGGAGGAGGACCAACAGAUGAGUGUUGACUCUGCUUAAUGAACUUGCCAUUUGAGAAUUUGUGAGGUGGAUUUACUAAAAAAUAAUGAUUUAACAAAUUGAUGUAAAAAGGAGGGCAAUGCCUGGAGCAAUGCCUUAACAGCUACAAUCCUGAAACCAAAGUGCAAGAUUUUCAAAAGGACUGUUCUUAUGGAUAAGGAAACACAACUUACACAAGAAAAUAUCAAAAUAAAUGAAGGUCUGUUUUACUUUGUUGCCAGCCAAACAGGAAUUGUUACUAAUGUGACCUAGUUUGCCUAGGCCGAGAAGUGUUUUUUUCCCCUAUAUUUCAGGAUGGAGAUUGUCACAGGGAACAUCUCAAGCCAUUACUUCAGGAGAAUGAAAGAUAUCUGGCAACCGGAAUCAGGGACCAACAGAUGACUGACGAGCCUGCUUGCUGAUCAUGUCAUUUCUGAUACGUGAGAAGAUGAUGACCACCAAGCCUAGAUGAGACUGGCUAGAUGAGCAAGAGGAUGUUUCAUCCUGAUGAGGAUAACACCACUCCAUCACUGAUGAAACGGAAGAUCUGGAGGAGAUGAAGACCAUACAUGCAGUGGAUGAGGAAGAGGCUGUAGCUGGAUCAGGAUAAUCCUCAACGCCUGUCUCUGAUGAACCUGAGGAACUGGAGACAGGGAGAACACUGAUUUCUGAGAUUCGCCAAGAUGUAGCCACCAACGACAGCAGAUACAGAGAUGGAUUGCCAGCUGCUGCUUGUCUACCCCCUUCCCUUUGACCACAGGAUGAAAAAUAUAUUAAAAAUCCCCUCAAAACUUUGGAACUUGUUGAUAAACUUUUGAACUAAGCUAUAAUCAGAGAUGCCACUUUUCAGGUUUUAACCUGAAUUCAGUUAUUUUUUUCAAAAAAUGUGACAAAUUAAAAGUGCUGGAUUUAGCAUGAAACAUCUAGAAAACACAUUUUUGAAAGGGGGGGUUAAGGGUAGUUUUAGGUUUUUCAGUAGUGUUUCAGGCUUUUUAUUGAUGUACUGGUGGCAUCUCUGGCUAUAAUGCUUUCAAAAAUAAAUUGAUAUGCCCAAAAAGCAAUCUUGGACCAAAAUCACUGAUCGUUUACGAAACUAAUAAAACCUGAAAACUCAUAUAUACAUUACAAUUUGGCGAAAAGUUUUCUAAAUGAUUGAAAUAAUUAUGUAACACAAUUAUUUAAUUGUUAAAAUGAUUUUAAUUAUUCAUGAUAAAUACAACUUCUGUGAAAGUUAUAGCAGUACCACUCUCAGGCUCAACCCAAUUUAACAAUAUAGAUAUUCAAGUUUACAAAUAUUUUGCAGUUUUCCCUUUAAAAAAGUUAUUUUUGUGUCUAAUUGAGGAGGCAGUUUCAAAAUUCAUGAAAAUUUGGAAUUACUGAGCAAUGUUUAUAAUAUACAUGUAUAGCUAUAUAAAACAUGCUGUACAAAAUGUCAGCUAUACAAAUGUUUAGGGUUAGAGGACCCCCCCCCCCAAAAAAAAGAUACAGCCCACCUCAAACACUUACAAAAGGGUACUCACUUUUCACAAAUAUAAAUAAAAUUUUAACCUAAAUUGGAGCGUUCUUUUCAAUCAACAGGCAUCUAGACAUUGAAAUUACACUGUGCUUAUCUUUUUGCAACAUUUGUUUGCACGAAUUUGACUCGUUUUUAGUUUGAUUUAUUUU